This is a long non-coding RNA of Sarcophilus harrisii (Tasmanian devil), 1078 nucleotides long. RefSeq lists it as uncharacterized. The record is from RefSeq and is a predicted model, not a curated record. The transcript has 5 exons. NCBI's taxonomy places the organism in Eukaryota, Metazoa, Chordata, Mammalia, Dasyuromorphia, Dasyuridae.
UCAAGGUAGAAUUGACAAAACAUUGGCAACAGAAUAUAUGGUGAAGGAGAGUGAGAGUUAAGUGCUCUGAGACUGGCACUCAAAUGACUGAAAGAAUAGUGCUUGCUACACUCACUCAUUUUCCAAACUUUAUUGGUUUGGUCGAGUUUGGGGAGGAAUAAUGAGUUCUGUUUUGGAUAUUUUGAAUUUGAGAUACCUGCAGGAUAUCUUGCUCCCAGGGAAACCAGGGUUAGAUAUAUAGAUUUAGGAAUUCUUGCAAUAGGAAUGAUAAUUGGACCCAUAGCAAUGGAUGAAAUCGCUGAAAGAGUAUCUAGGAAAAAAAGCCCAGAUAUGCCUUAGACAUUUGAGGUAAGAGGGUUAAUUAUACUUCUAGAAAGGAGGCCAUGGAAUGGUCAGACAGGUGGGAGAACAACUAAGGUAAAACAAUGUCAUGAAAAACCAAAAGGAAAAAAAAACUAUUAAGAAAGAGAGGAGGAACAAUACAAAAUUCUGCACAGAGGUCACAAAGUAUGAAGACUGAGAAAAAGUUACCAGAUUUGGAGAUUGAAAUCACUGCUAACUUUGAAGAGGGCUUCUUCAGUUAAGUGAUCCUUUAUGAAAUCUUCCAAGAAAGCCUUGUGAAAUGGGGACCAGUUCAUAUCUCACUUUGGGGCUUUAUCUGAAGUUGAUUUGCCUCUGAGAAGCUCAGGAUUUGAGGUCUGUUAGAGGAGAAAUUCCUGAGAAGAUCCAUGUCAUAUCCUGAUGGAAUCCUUUGUGACAAAGAAAAAUAAUCAGACCCAAUGAUCACAUCCACCGACAGAGAGAACUUCCUCCCUGCAAAAUCCCCGCUUUGCCAGGAGGGAGCGUGUUCAUAGAAUUUAGAACUGAAAGGAACCUUUGGAGUCCUUUUGGAGAUAUUGAAACUGAGACCCGGAAAGUCACAGAAGAGUAAAAAUGGUCAGAGUCAGGAUUUGAAAUCAGCAAACUUCUAAAUCUGGUUACAUGGGACACAUGUGAUCUUCAAGAAUGGCGUUUAUUAUGAUGGAAGAUACAAAGCAUGAAGGUGACCAGAAUGCGUUUCGAGUCAUCAGCAUCCAGG